AAGCAAGAAACUUACUGUACUAUGGUUUCGGCCCAUAACUAGAUGUACUUAUUACAUCCUUGCUUU
Molecule: transfer RNA, 66 nt
Filed under: Anodonta nuttalliana
Lineage: Eukaryota; Metazoa; Mollusca; Bivalvia; Unionida; Unionidae
Description: tRNA-Arg
Source: RNAcentral